Long non-coding RNA from Pantherophis guttatus, 529 nucleotides. RefSeq lists it as uncharacterized. NCBI's taxonomy places the organism in Eukaryota, Metazoa, Chordata, Lepidosauria, Squamata, Colubridae. The record is from RefSeq and is a predicted model, not a curated record.
GGGGCAGUAUAUAAAUCUUAUUGCUAUUGCUAAAAUGAUCCCAGGAGCACUUGAGCCUGUGAUUCCAAAGCUGGGAGAACUGCUCCAACAGAUCCCAGGAGCAACAUCAGGGCUCCCUGUCCAGAAGAGUGCAGUGUGCUAGGAACUGUUAAGAUAGUGUGAAGAACCCUCAAAUUCCCAGGCUUCAGAGAAGAACUCUUGUUGUCAUGACCUUGACAAGGAGUGGACGGUGCAUCAGGGGACAGCAAUUUUUGAACUAAGUCCUGGAAGUCAGAGGAUUCUGACUUUAAAAAGGAAGAAAGCGAGGGAAGAAAGCAAGAAAGCAUUGCCCCCCCCCCCCAGCUGUUACCACCAAUAGCCUUGUGGAAUGGAUUCUUGUUCUUGUUUGUUUUUCAAUGUACACAACCCACAGAGCGAGAUGCACACCCUAUUUAUAUCGCUUGUAGGUUUUCCCUGUCUCGUGGGAAGAUCGGGUGGGCACCAGAUUAUAUAGCCAUUGUGAGACCAUAUUAAAUAGCAACAGAUCGGA